This 1059-nucleotide ribosomal RNA is filed under the name uncultured organism. Its description in RNAcentral is "SSU rRNA". It matches the Rfam family "Bacterial small subunit ribosomal RNA", at positions 34 to 1090 of the family's 1533-position model. The record is from RNAcentral.
CGCUAGCGACAGGCUUAACACAUGCAAGUCGAGGGGUAACAGGGUGUAGCAAUACACCGCUGACGACCGGCGCACGGGUGAGUAACGCGUAUGCAACCUGCCUUUGACAGAGGGAUAGCCCAUGGAAACGUGGAUUAAUACCUCAUAGUCUCUUUUUCCUUCCUGGGGAAUAGAGUAAAACGAGAGUGGUCAAAGAUGGGCAUGCGUCCUAUUAGGCAGUUGGCGGGGUAACGGCCCACCAAACCGAUGAUAGGUAGGGGUUCUGAGAGGAAGGUCCCCCACACUGGUACUGAGACACGGACCAGACUCCUACGGGAGGCAGCAGUGAGGAAUAUUGGUCAAUGGUCGAGAGACUGAACCAGCCAAGUCGCGUGAGGGAUGACUGCCCUAUGGGUUGUAAACCUCUUUUCUACUGGGAGAAUAAGCCCUAUGUAUAGGGUGAUGACAGUACAGUAGGAAUAAGCAUCGGCUAACUCCGUGCCAGCAGCCGCGGUAAUACGGAGGAUGCGAGCGUUAUCCGGAUUUAUUGGGUUUAAAGGGUGCGUAGGCGGCUUUAUAAGUUAGUGGUAAAAUUUCGGAGCUUCACUCCGGUCCGCCAUUAAAACUGUAGAGCUAGAGAAUGGACGAGGUAGGCGGAAUAAGUUAAGUAGCGGUGAAAUGCAUAGAUAUAACUUAGAACUCCGAUAGCGAAGGCAGCUUACCAGACCAUAACUGACGCUGAUGCACGAGAGCGUGGGUAGCGAACAGGAUUAGAUACCCUGGUAGUCCACGCCGUAAACGAUGCUCACCGGCCCUUAGCGAUAAGACAGUUAGGGGUUAAUUGAAAGAAUUAAGUGAGCCACCUGGGGAGUACGUCGGCAACGAUGAAACUCAAAGGAAUUGACGGGGGCCCGCACAAGCGGAGGAACAUGUGGUUUAAUUCGAUGAUACGCGAGGAACCUUACCUGGGUUUAAAUGUAUGUUGCAUAAUCUGGAAACAGUUUUUCUCUUCGGAGCUAUAUACAAGGUGCUGCAUGGUUGUCGUCAGCUCGUGCCGUGAGGUGUCGGGUUAAGUCCCCU